UAACUACUCCCCCCUCAAGUUUAUGACC
RNAcentral lists this non-coding RNA (28 nucleotides) under Drosophila melanogaster (fruit fly). The record is from RNAcentral. Lineage: Eukaryota; Metazoa; Arthropoda; Insecta; Diptera; Drosophilidae.